CAGUGGCUUGGAUACUUGUGUUAAACAAUUUAUUUAUUCAUCUUUUGGUGCUAAAGAUGCGUUUUGUUUUACACGUUUUUCAUAACGCUGUAAUGUCCGACAUAACCUGAACACACCAGAAGCGGCAAAAGGCUUUAGCCUCGUUCCCAGCAACAGGUUGAGGUUGAUCCCUGAAACGUAGCGUCCAACUCUUUCACAGGCCGAUGAAGCCGCUUGGUUCAUCCACCACAAGAGACUUUUAUUUGAAAGUUGCGUCGGUUCUGAACUCAUGUUUGCGCAUUUUUUGCUAUGGUCGCGAUGCUAGAUGGAAGGUGCAACUGCGCAAACAACACCCAACAGCUCGUUGAACCAAUCAGCGGCGCUGUUGGUGUGAUUGACAGGGAGGGGGAGCCAACCAGGUACGAGAGAAAACAGUUUCUGGUGAUCUGCGCGUGAAUCAAAACGACAUCAAGUCAUAAUGAACGGCAAUGUCAAAACCACCGUAUAUUGACUUUAAGUAGAUCGUACAGACCCCAAAACUAUUUUAUAAGUACGAUAAUUAUCGUAUAUCUGGCAACACUAGUCUGGAUGCUUGAUGUCAGACAAUCCGGAAGUUCGCGGAGUGGCUGUGUGAUGGCGGAAAAGCUCCCGUAAAACAGGUUAUCCAUGAUUAAUUAAGCAAAGAAAAGCAGACGGGAAGUUGGUAAACAAAAAAAAUUUAAACAACAAGAAAAUGCCUGCUCAUAUAGACAUGCUGAACUCCAAGACAUCAUGUAGGAAGUGGAGCAGAGCGAAGGCACGCAGCCGUCGUCGUAAAACAAGAGACCCUUAAAUUGUGGUGUCCCGAUCGACAUACUGUAGUUCUCCAGUGACAGUAAACUGGCACAGCCAUGACAGACACCAGCAGGACUUCUCACGAUGGCACGUCUCUACGGUGGAAUUUGCGAAAACAUUCUUAAGAUCUGGGAGGCCUGAAGCUGAUUGAUUAGUAGAGACAGAGCAUGCCAAGCCACAUCAGGGCCCCUGCGCAGGUUAAGUGGUGCUAAGAUUGUUUGAUAUAAUCAGUGAUUAGAGGAUGAGGAAGGUGAGUGUGAACUCUCGGACUCGCUGACCUCCUAAUCACAGAGGGGCUUUCGAUCCAUCCUGCCCCAACAACUUCAAUCAGACACGCCUGAAUCUAUAGAUCCUGGACGAAGAAGGCUUCGGAGCUUUGUAUGUUUGGAUCAGCUAGAAGUGGGAAGCUGCUCCAAAUGCUCCUUCCACAUCACCGUCAUCUGCUGCAGAGACUCAUUUUGGGCCUUUUUCCGAGCUGCAGUCAGCACAUCAGGCCUCCUUCUCCUCCACUGAGACACUCUGAGAAUCCCUGGCAGCUCAUAUAUCAAGGGAGCUCCUCACAGCAGUGCUCCUCUUCCUCUUUCAAUGCACAGGGGCUGUGUUCUAUCACAUCAAAGGAUCUGUAAUUAACACUGCAAACCAUGGGAUGGUCUUUGACUGAGCUCGAUAGCACGGGGGCGCGGGAUCACAGAUAACAUAGAGGUGGAGGAGACGGAUACGCGAGGCCUCCAAUGAGCACGAGGAGGUGUUAUCGUUCCGACACAACCAGACUCAGACCCAAGCACUUUAAAGGCAGAGAUAGUCAGACCCUGGCUGUGAUGCAAGAGUUGCACCCUGUAAACAAAAGGCAAAUAAAGCCGCUGGUUAUUAAAUAAGGUGUGAGCCUGUUUGGCUUCCUCGCGUCGGAGCAGAGCUUAUUCUUUUUAGUCUUCUAAAUUCUGGAAAACACUGUUUUUAUUGUCAAUAAAAAAAAAAUCAAUAUCGCUGUCUUACCGCAAAGCCCGGCCGCUCGAACGCGCAUCCUCCCCUCAAAUUUCCCCGCAGAAUAUCUGUUAGCUUGAUUUUGACAACAGAAUUGGCAAUUCAUUAAAUGUUUUCAUAUACCGAGUAUCAAUUUCACUUUGCAGCAAAGCUCACGCCAGGCAUUAAAAAAAAAUUACACAUUUGGGAUGAACAAGACUAAUCAUGUCUCAGAUUCAUCCAUUUGAGGCCCCUUAAUUUCCCCAUUGUAGAAAACAAGACGUAUAAUGAACAAUUAUACAUAAAGUCAAUUUCAGUGUUGUGCAGAAGACUUAAUUAAAAUUACUAAUGAAAAAAGGACUGCUUACAGUGUGGAAGUUUACUCAUCAGUUUCAAAAUGAGCAAAUGCUUUGUCUUCAUGGACCGUAAUGAAAAUGACCCCGAAUGGCAACAAGCUCCUUUCUUGUUUGUUUACAAACAGUCGUGAUGAAUAAAAUUAGUAACCGUAAACCUGUGAAAGGAUUUUGGCAUAAUUGGCCAAAUGGAGGAAGGAAAGAGGAGCUGAACAUCAAUGCCAUUACGUAAUUGUGGGACCACGUAUCAUAAUAUCAAUUAACAAAUUUAUUCAAACUGCAGAAAUGAAUGUCAUGCUUGUGGCAGCAGCCUAAAAUGGAUAAUUAUGAUGAAACAUCCAAAGGAGAGCAGUCACAGGGAAGACAUGAUAUUCCCUGAAGUGAUCCCCUCCCCUCCCCCGUCUGGCCCGGCGCUCCCCGCCGCAAGGCACACUCGGCACAGUGGCACUGACAGAUUGACAAAUAAGGUUAAUAAGUACUUUCCACCUCUCCUAAAGGCUAAUCAAAUAUUAAUCCUUGAGGUGUGGUCAGCAGAAAAAAAACAACAAACAAUUGGUGGAGGAGAAUUGAUUGAAUUGAUUCAUUCUCAUCAUACUCUGGGCUGGUUAGAGAAGGCAGAUGCCGGUUGUGGACAAUGUGAUGUGCUGGUGAAUUCUUUUCAGGCUGAGAAUGGACAAUAAUUUUGGAUGUAAGCACUUAAAAGUCACUUGCGGUGUUUUAAUCCAUUUCCUCAGUUUGUUGGCUCGUGGGCGCCACGCGCUCGCAGCACUGUGGGCGUGAAUGCGGCUCGUGACCCCACGCCCACGUCCACACACCCACCCGCCCAAAAACAAUAGUUUGUAUGUAAUUCUCUAUUAGGCAUCGUCAACCUUUUACAAGAACUGACACCAAAACUGUCUUUCCAAACCUAAUUUCUAAACAAUAGCAACGGGAGAGUUUUAGUAAAAGGUGGCAAAAAAUUCAACCAUACUUAUAUACACACAGGGACAUGAAUCAAAAGAAGACCCCCUUAAAAAACAUACUAUUGGUGACAAAUUUGAAUUUUACACAAAUCAACCCCUCCCCCCAACCGUUUUCACUAAUCGGAAGCCUCGGGACAUUGCGAGGCCUAGUGGACCAUGUGAGCGGAGCCACACACUCACGUACUGAUAGGGCAAAAUUGGAUCCAGUGAGAAUGCAAAGAAGCUUAUCAAGCAACACUUCCAGGCAGGGCUCUCUCUCUCUCUGUCUCUGUCUCUCUCUCUCUCUCUGCAAGAGCAUAUGUCAACAUCAUUUAUUAGAUGUGGCCAGGGACUAAAUUAUGUAUGAUCACAAAACGAGGAAAAAAGGGAGGGGGGGGGGGUAGGAUCACACGCAGCAGGUGGAUAGAAUAAUAUUUGGAGAGAAUAUGAAAUUAUUAAUAGGGGCCUUAAGGGAGAGUAUUUGUUAACAUUAACCAGUGAGACAUUUGUACAUUAAUGCUUCAAGCCUGUGAUUAAUCUGGACAUUCAGAAUCAUAUAUAAGUUAAGUGAAUGUUGUGUUUACUUUCCUGUUUAGAAAGAAGCAAGCCGUGUUAUUACUGCCUCAUAUACUUCUAUAUUAACAACAAGCAGUAAAAUAAAACCCCUCAAACGGCAUCAAGCAAAUUAUAAAAAUAAAAAAAAAACUGCAAGUGGAGCUUAAAACCCAGUUAACUGCAUUUCCUUCACGGCAGCCAAACAUAUACUAAGUAGCUUUAAUAUUGCCAGAUGAGCAAUCUCUCAAGCAAAAUACUCAACCGAGAUACUACUGUAUGUAAUUUCCCCCCCACAUCUAACAGUAUGGAACAAAUCCCACUAGCAGAGGGAGUUGACAAAUUGCAUUAAAAACACUCAAUUGGGCCAGGAUUGGAUAGAAGCUCAUGUUCUUCCUUAUCCCAUUAAACAUGAAACAGUUUAAUCUGUGAAAGUUGCUGACAUACGGGCGAACGCCGUAUUUCAUUUCUAGGCACAACAACGUGGGCCCUCGAACCGCUGCACGGCGCGACACACGCGUAGACAAGAGCAGAGUUCACGGCAUUAUUUUAAUUCGUCAAUUACAACGUCGUUUAACAGAGCGGCGGCGGCGGCGACGCGUCAUUUGUCUCAGCCCGCUUAAAGUGGGCAAAUAUUAAAGAGACUCGAACUGUCAAAUCAUCCAAGUUUCUUCUUCAGUGGCUUACCCGAUUUGAGCAUGUUCUGCUUCUUUUCAUGACAUGUAAACAGGUUUUGACAUGGGUCUAGUUAAAUGUGUAAGACAUGCUGGAAAAAAAGAGGCAAAGGGAAAUGCCUGUGAAAAAAAAAACACCCAAACCUGUCAACACACAGUACCUGCUUUAAAUCUGUUCCCCAUUUCAGGCAAUCUGUGGGAACCAGGCCUGUGGAGUCUAAUCCUGUUUUCAUCCGUACUCCCCCCCCCAACACCCCCCUCAUCUGUAUCACACUUUCAAUUCCACUUGCUGGUGCCUUUGUGUGAUUUUCAUUUGAUCUCGCUUUUAAAAUUCAAAAUCUAUUCAGGAUUUUUUUAGUUGGAUUCAUGCUGCUGCCGUGAAGCCCCUAUUUAUGUUCUAGAUUUGGACUUGCAAAUCAAGAGUGUGUGAUUUGGGUGGGGGGUGGUGGGGGACGGAAGUCCAAAAUUCCCUGGCAUCACCUUUUAUGAUGCUGUAGGUUUAAAAUGUUAACAAGGGUGUUUUAGCAAGCUGAUUUGUGCAGUAUCAGCCUCUGUCUGCCUGUGUGUGCGAGUGUGGGGGACUCUAUCAUAAUGAUCACAGUAGAACUGGUCUUAUUUACGGACUCUAGUGGCAACGUUCCAUCUGUAAGUCACUGUAAAUCAUAUUUUUGUCAGUAGAGACAGAGAAAAGUAGUUGAAAAAAAACUAAAUGCACAGAUUAAAACAGAAAAGUGUAUCAGAACAUGAGUAGAACACGAGUAGAGCAUCAGUAGAACAUGAUCUGGAGCUUUCUAUAGAUUUGUUAGUGUUUUAGUUUGCAUUCAUUGUUGCUUAGAGCAUAGAUCUUUACAGGCCUUAAGGUGCAGGUGCAUGCGAUGGCGCAUCGCUGCUCUUCAAACAUCCACCAACGCUGAAGUGAACAAAGCAAAUCCGUGUCUGACAUUGUCAUCCAAGCGUUCAACGCUCGCUGCUGGAGGAUCCGCCAAAGCGACGGGAAAGCACCAAUAUAACCACAUACGCUGGAAAUACAGAAUAUUACAGGUGAAAUUAAAGCGGGAGGAAAUAACCUUUUCAUUUCAGCGCUGCCAAAUGUCAGCAGCGAUUGCGUGGAGUUGUUGGGAAGAGGGAACGUCUGCAUCAAAAGCAGAGGGAGCUUAUGGCCACGUAGCCGUAAACACUGUCUCUGCUUCAGCACAGCAAUAAGGGCUGAGGAAAUAUAAAACCAUCGGCAUCCGGCAUGUGCUUUGGAUUGAUUUUCCCUCUAACUUAACUCAGCCAUUAUACUGACACCAAAGGGACAAUAUCAAUAUCAACCAAAUUAAUAACUUCCCCACUGCGAUAGAGCUGAGGCUGUGCAGCAUGUGUGAGUCCAUAAGAAAGAGCCAGGAACAAACUUUUGGAUCCAUCGGAUGCGUUCCUAUGAGCAAUUUAUGCACAGAAAUGCAAUAUUGCGGCAGACGCUCGUCUGCUCUGCAAAUAAACGGCUGCGUUUGUGCUCAGACGCGUGUCUAAAGAGCACGUCUGGUCGGCUACUUCAUAUUUGUGAGAUGUGGACAUUAACAUUGAAGAAAAACAUACAUCGGUGGCUUCCAAAUGUCAGCGCGCAGUAAACAAGUGAUGGUUGUGUGCGUUGGUAUAAGUGAGCCUGUGAUGAUGCUCUUGAAGUGAUGUUUGUCUUGGAAUAAGCAGAUAAUCGUAUUAUGGGAAUAGCAGAUGUCUGCGUACUGUAUCUGUUCACAUCGCAGCCCAGUCGGGGAUUUACACGAGCAUCGUGAACUCAGCUCCGCUCCCUGUGACUAUCUGACGCGAGGCGCUGACAGGGGCUCACUGUUGACACUCCCGUUGAUACGGGCAUUGAGAGGAAGACGGGGAAGUCGCGGGAGAGCGUCUUCCUCUUCGUCGGCCCACGUCGAAGCGUCGCAUCCGCAGCCCAAUGAGCUGCGGCGUCAACCCGUCGUGACAGCGCGGCGUCACGCGUCAUGUUUUUGCCUCUCUCUCGCCGCGUGCCCGACGCCCGGAACAGCUGAAACAUCACAAAUGCAAAAAUUUAAAAAGCCCAAUGUUCCAAAGUUCGGUGCAUAAUGGAUAGAGGGUCAGAGUGUCGCUGUUUUUUUUGUGAUCCUAAUCUGAGAAGUUAUUAUUAGACCAACGCAAACCCUGCUUGCCAUAAAAUAACAGGUGAGGUUAAUGGCAAAUGAUUCACUGCAUUACAAUUUUUGCAUUUCCCUCUCCCUUUUUUUUUACACUAAUGGAUUUUAUUUUACAGGAUAUUCUCUGAAAGCAUACAUAAUUCUGCGUGAAAGCAAAUCUAUUUUUCAUGAAUACAAAGCAAUAUUAAAAGCACAACUUAAGAGACUAUGAAUUCAUAAUUGUGUAUUAUCCAAACAUGAAAAACACAGAAUUAGGAGCGUUUUUCACACCCUCCUAUAAGCAAAACUCCAACUCUCUGGGUUUUGUGACACUAGCAUUAAUGGCAUAACCAUCACAUAUGAUAGCAUUUGUUAGACGCAGUCUUCAUCUACAAACACAGUGAUGCUCAGGUUGCUUCGUCUCCCUCGGCCGGCGUGCGCUUGUCUCCAAAGUGAAGCAUUUGUGAGGAGCUCCAUUUACUGCACUUAGUGAACGCCACACGUUUAUAAUAAGAGCAAAUCCUUGUGUUUGAAAGUUGUGAUUACCCAUGAUUCAUCACAGCCCCGUGACUGUCAUUAAACGUGAUUAAAUUGUUAAAGUGAUUGACAGACCUUGGCAGGAACAUGAUUUCUUUGAGACAAACGGAAAUAAGCGAAUGGCUUUGGAUAAACAGACAACAUUUAUUUGAUUUUGCUGGGAUUUGUUGACAGUAUGAACACAAAUACGCUCCAGUGAUUGCUUUCACUCCCAUUUUACUAUUAACGAUGUGUUAAUAAUGGGACAUGGACUUUCAACAAGCCGCUAAGAUAACCAAACCAUCAACCAGAGACUCUGGUUGAGGCCUCUGAGGAUCCGGAGGGUGCUGAGCGGGCGGGUCUAUCAGUGGACGGACUGUCACACAGUCUGUGACCAACUGUCUUUAACACAUGUGCUCUGCGUGUCCAGCUCCCUCUGCCUCUGUGCCUCUUUUACCUGCAGCACACACAGUAGCGGCAGUGGCGCCGGCGCUUCCCAUGACAUUUGGAGGUUAAUUUGCAUUGGCUUCAUGGUCAUUUAUCGAUGGAGGCCUCAUAAAUUAGCAUUCACCACGCUUUUUUAUUGACAGAAGUGUUUAAUAACCCAUCAAGUCGAGCCAGGAAGUGGGGCCUGUGCUGCGGACAGGUUUCGUGGCCCAGUGUGAUGACGGGACUGAAAUAAUUGGAGUAAAUCACUGUAAGCGUCGCGGCAGGCUCAUGGGUGACGCUGUGGGGGGAUUUGAGCCGCUUGGAUGCAGGAGGACUCGGUCAGCGUGCAGGAGACGGGUGCGGAGGGAGGAAUCAGAGGUUUCCUGUUCUCACCGCAGGUUUCGCUUCACGUUGACAUAUUUACAGCCGGGCCGUCAGCACAUCACGCUGCGUCGGGUUCACGGCGGCUCGUACCGCUCCCUUCCACAUCCUCAUGCCCCAACUUCAUCACAUCUACUAACUUACUCACUAACUAACGCAAAUUAUGUACAUCUCCAUCCUGCAAUUAGUUCCCACAUAAUUUUCUUUCGAUCUUCCUUAUAAUUCCCAGCUUUCUCCUCCACCCUUAUCUCCCCCUUCCACUGUUGCGCUCGCAUGUGUAUAAUUUCACAUCCCCUGAUUCACACGGCGUGUCACCAUGUCAGAGUGAAACAUACUUAUGUUCAAAGGACUCCUAAUGUGGAGUGAUGGGUAGGCCUACAGUAGCCUCAGAGCCGUUGACACACAGCUGUCUUUGCUACAAAUCCUGCAAAUCCAUUAAAAAAAAAAAAAAAAAAACUAAAAA
Betta splendens (Siamese fighting fish) is the source of this 8211-nucleotide long non-coding RNA. RefSeq lists it as uncharacterized. The record is from RefSeq and is a predicted model, not a curated record. Lineage: Eukaryota; Metazoa; Chordata; Actinopteri; Anabantiformes; Osphronemidae. The transcript has 5 exons.